This 143-nucleotide ribosomal RNA is filed under the name bacterium. RNAcentral's name for it is "partial 16S ribosomal RNA". The record is from RNAcentral.
UUCUGGGGGGGGCAGUAGUGGAGAUUUUUCAACAAUGGGAGAUAUCGAGCAGCAAAUGCGCCGGAGAGGUGAAAGUUUUUUGGGGUUAAAAAUUUUUCCUUGGGGAAGAGAAAGAUGACGUANCCAAGAAGANNNCNCAUUNC